CAGCCGCCACGGUAAUACGGGGGGAGCUAGCGUUGUUCGGAAUUACUGGGCGUAAAGCGCACGUAGGCGGCUUUGUAAGUUAGAGGUGAAAGCCUGGAGCUCAACUCCAGAAUUGCCUUUAAGACUGCAUCGCUUGAAUCCAGGAGAGGUGAGUGGAAUUCCGAGUGUAGAGGUGAAAUUCGUAGAUAUUCGGAAGAACACCAGUGGCGAAGGCGGCUCACUGGACUGGUAUUGACGCUGAGGUGCGAAAGCGUGGGGAGCAAACAGGAUUAGAUACCCCCGUAGUCCCUGUCUCUUAUAC
This 301-nucleotide ribosomal RNA is filed under the name uncultured bacterium. RNAcentral describes it as "partial 16S ribosomal RNA". It matches the Rfam family "Bacterial small subunit ribosomal RNA", at positions 509 to 807 of the family's 1533-position model. The record is from RNAcentral.